Molecule: non-coding RNA, 527 nt
Organism: Malus domestica (apple)
Lineage: Eukaryota; Viridiplantae; Streptophyta; Magnoliopsida; Rosales; Rosaceae
Source: RefSeq, a predicted model, not a curated record
CAAUCCAUCUGACUCACCAUUACACCCCCACUAAUUCACUCAACCCUCUCUUCACUUCUCUUCACUUCUUUCUACCCCACUCAGACUCCCCCAACUUCCAACACUGUCACUCUCUCUCAUUCCUCACGAGUCACUACUCUCUGCCUCUCCCAUCUGUACCCCCUUUGCAACUCUCCUUCUCCCUCUCGGUAAAAUCGAGAACCACCACCGUAAUCCCUGGAGCUUUUGCGCUGAUUCCAGUUUUUUAAUGAUUUCCAAGAAACGCAGUCUACGAUGCCUGAUCCGGCCUGAUUUGAAGAAGAUUUCUCAAGCGACUGUAAUUGUAUGGUAACCGUCUUCAGUUUUUGGGUUUGAACGCUAGAACCAGUGAUCUUUGAAGAAGAUCAAAGGGGUCAAGCGGUGGAGGAGUGGGUUAAUAGUUAUGUGUUCUUCUUGAUAAUUGUAUGUGUUUAUGCCCUCAUGAUAUUGUGAGAUAUCAUGGGAUUGUUUGUGAUCUGAUUAAAUAGAUAGUAUGCUUUUCAACAUUA